CCCUUCUACACAGUCUCUCUGGUGGAAGCUUUCUCUCUUCCUCUCCUUUUUCUCUUUCUCUACCUAAAUAAAUCACUUUCUGCAAACACUGUUUGGGGUCCAAUAUUUUACAAGGGCACCUGCAUUGUCCCUUCUCUCAUUCUUAAGAAAGCAAGAAACCAAGAGCCUGGAGCCCACUGGGGAGAGGUCUAAGUGUUCCCCUGAACCCCAAAACCCCAUUUGGUGAGCCAGCCAGGAGAAGACGACUUCAAAUCUCAUCAGCAACUUCAUUCAUUAUGCGGCUGGUGAAAGAGACAUUCAAAGAGGUGAAACAAUUUGCCCAUGUACACACAACCAGCAAAUUGCAGAGCCAGACUAAUGUCAAAAGUAGAAGAUCACUGACUGCUGGGUGAAAAUAUACAAGGUAAGUGUGAAUAAAUCUACUUAAUACUUAGCAGUAUGAAAAGUAAAAUUUAGAGUUUCAGAAUAAAUGCAUUAUGUUAACAUCAUAUACUUAGAACUCAUUAGUAUCUACCAAUACAUAUUGUAUACAUGAUAUGUAAAAACAUAUGUAUAUAUGUAAUAUAUGCUAUUUUAUCAGUCAUGGUUUCAGGAUAGUAUAUUUAAUUAUAUAUUAAACUUACAGCACCCUCAAUAUGGUAAGAUCCUCAAAUACACUCAUGCAUUAAAUACUUUUUGAGCAUGGCAUGUGAGACAGAAUUCAUUGUGUUCAGUGGAAAAUGAGUUAAAUAGGUUAGCAGAUAGUUGUCCUCUAUUCUCCUCUGAUCUUAAGUGCAAAGAAAAUGGCCUGAAAAGGCACUGAAGCCAAAACAGUGAUUCUCGACCUGGGCUUCCCAUCAGAAUUACCUAGAGUACAUUAAAUUCUUUGCUUGUGUCCCACCCUCAUAUAUUUUUAAUUAAUUGGUUUGAAAUCUGCCUUUGAGGAGAUUGAAGACAAUUAUUUGUCCUAAAAGCUUUCUCAAUUAUUUCUAAUUUACAGCCAAGAUUUCUUAAAUUAAUGGUUCUCAAACUUGUUUGCAUAUUUUAAUGUCACAGGGAACCUUUACAUAAAUAUGUGCAUGACCAGACCAUGUCCCAGAUAAAAGGGGUUGGGUGUGGGGGUGAGGUUGAGACAGUCUUAAAGCUUCUCAACUGUUACUGGAAAGGGGUCCCAAUCCAGACCCUAGGAGAGAGAUUUCUUGGACCUCACAAAGAAAGAAUUCACGGUGAGUCCUUAGAGUAACAUGAAAACAAAUUUAUUUAGAACGUAAAGGAAUAAGGAAUGGCUAAGCCAUAGACAGGCCCGCAGCAUGGGCUGCUUGACUGAUUAUAUUUAUAGUUAUUUCUUGAUUAUAUGCUAAACAGGGGGUGACUUAUUCAUGAGUUUUCUGGGAAAGGGACAGGCAAUUCCCUGAACUGAGGGUUCCUCCCUCUUUUAGACCAUAUAGGGUAACUUCUGACAGUUGCCAUGGCAUUUGUAAACUAUCAUGGCGUUGGUGGAAGAGCCUUUUAACAUGCUAAUGUAUUAUAAUUAAUGUAUAAUGAGCAGUGAGGACAACCAGGGGUCACUUGUGUCACCAUCUUGAUUUUGCUGGGUUUUGGCUAGCUUCUUUACUGAAUCCUGUUUUAUCGCCAGGGUCUUUGUGACCUGUAUUUUGUGCCAACCUCCUAUCUUGUCCCAUGACUAAGCAUGUGUAGGGCUGGGUGCUCACGCCUGUAGUUCCAGCACUUUGGGAGGCUGCAAGGUGAGUGUAUCAGCUGAGGUUAGGAGUUCAGGAUCAGCCUGGCCAACAUAGUGAAAACCCAUCUCUACUAAAAAUACAAAAAAAUUAGCUGGGCAUGGUGGUGGAUGCCCGUAAUCCCAUCUACUCGGGAGGCUGAGGCAGGAGAAUUGCUUGAACCUGGGAGGUAGAGGUUGCAGUGAGCAGAGAUUGCACCACUGCAUUCCAGCCUGGGCAACUAGAGCAAAACUCCAUCUCAACAACAACAACAACAAGAAAAAGAAAAAGAAUGUAUAACUUACCGGGCAUGCGGCCCAUCAGGUCUCAUCCUUAUUUCACCCACCCCUACUCAAGAUGAAGUUGUGGUGGUUUAAAUGCCUCUGAUAAAACUUAUUUCAAUAUGCAGGUAAGUUAGAAAAUCAUUAUUCUGCAGAAUUUGUAUGCUCUUUACCCAGUUCUCCAUUCAGAUAUGAACUAGACUUUGAGUAUUUGCCUUAUUAGAACUUAAGAGAAAUUAAAGAAAAAAAAAAAGAGCUUUGGGAAGGUAUUGACAAUAUUGGUUUUUCUAAGGUGUGAGGAGGUAUUUUUCAUGAGAUCAUAUGAAUAUCACGUGUACUCCAUAAGUAUGUAUAAUUAUUAUAUAUUCAUAAUUAAAAUUUUUAAAGAAAAACUUAAAAAAUAAUAAAGACAAUGACAAUAAAUCAAGCAUGUUCUUGAGAAUUUCCUGUAGAACACUCCACCAUAGCUUGAAAUCCAUAUGGCUUUUAGUUUCUUUUUUUUAUGCACAAGGAUGACUAAAAAUUCCAAACUGAGCAAACAACAACCGAAAAAGUUCUGGCAGCACAAAUAUAACAACUUUUUACUAUGCCAAGUACUGAAAAUCCUGCUGUUAGUUGUUUUUAUUUCUGCAUGUGUGGAUGAACUUGCCAUAUGAACAAGUCAGGUAUGCUUAAUGAAUCAUGGACAAGCAUGGAUGCCCUCCAGUGGAGCUUCGCAGUCUUCAAGAUGCAGCAAUUGGAAUGAAUGGAAUUGUUUUACCUUUAGCCAUUAUAUCAGAUGUCAUCAAUUUCUUGAUCCAAUUAGUUCUCAUUUAUACAUAGUAAUGCCUAUUGACUUCUCAAUUCACUUCUACCAGUGUGAGCAGAUAACAACUUUCGUUUCUUCCCUUCCUUCUGGUGGUGGCUGUGAUCAGGGUAUCAGGGUUUGGGUUGGGAACAUGUGUAGCAGAGAAUGAGCCCUGGAUAAGGGUUCAAGAAAAGGUAUUUAGUUCUUGUUCAGCCCCAUAUUGCCUAUGUCACUUAAUUUCGAGAGUUUUAGCUUCUUUAUUGGUUCAGUCAGCAUAGUUUUAACACCUGCCUGAAGGUCUCACAGUAUGGCUGUGAGGAACAAAAUUAGUUUAGUAUGUCAUCAUAAUGUGAGGCAGCCAAAAAAUGAAAGAUGCAUGGUACUAGUAGGGGCAAAUGAGGAUCUCUGGAAAUCAGACAUGCCUAUGGAGGUGGUAUAAGUGCUGUGGGUGUUGACCUAGGCUAAGGAACAUUUUUUCCCUGAAGUGGAAGAAGAGAUUAUCCCGUUGCAAGAGUUAGGGGCCAGGGGUUGCAGAAGGAAAGUGGAAAUAUUGGGUCAUUUCUAGGAAUGUAAGUUUCUUUGAUAGAGUUACCAGAUAAAUCACUGGACAUAGGGUUAACUUUGAAUUCGAGAUAAACCGUGAAUAGAAUGUUCACUAUAUGUAUUUCCCAACUAUUGCAUGAAAAAUACACUAAAAAUUAUUCAUUGUCCAUCUGAAAUUCAUGUUUGUUUGUGCAUUCUAUAUUUUGAUUUGCUUAAUCUGCCAACACUAAUCUUGGGAUAGUUGGGGCUGGCCAUUUUGCUCCUUUCAGUUAUUUUUUGGAGGAGAAAGUUUCAGGUAUUUCUAACUUGCUAUGUGCCUUGAUACAUUGUUGAUUGACACAUGAUACUUAAAUAUUGAUAGCAUUUUAUGGUUUCUGAAGCAGAUUUAUAUAUAUAUAUAUAUAUAUAUAUUGUUUAUGAAGUACAUUUAUAGAAAUUAUUUGCAAAAUUCUUAUAAGUUAGGCAUUAUCAUUCCCACUUUAUAGAUAAGAAAACUGAAAAUCAGAGUUUUCAGGUUACGAUGCUUGUUCAAGUUUCUAUGGCUGUUUAAUGAAAUAUUUAGCAAUUAGAAACAGUUCUUUGAUUAUAUGUGCAAUGUUAUUUCAACUAUGCCCAAGCUGUCUCUUAAACUGAUUAGAUCUCAGCGUUUUAUGUUUUACCAGAAGCAGAUUUUCUUUUUUGUUUUCCAUUAUCUAAAACUAGUCCCAGCAGGCAUUACUUCUAAUCCAGUUGUUUUGCUUGUAUGAUUCUAUUGAAGAUUUAGUAUUAAUGAGAUCGCUGUGAGUAAAAUAUACAGCACUUUGAAUUUGUCACUGUAGCUUCUCUUAACAAAUGAAUUGAACAAAUGUAGUGUUACAAGAAUUUACAUUUUCUGCCCAGUUGGAAACCCAACGAUUUAUUUGCUCCACAAUUUUAAAUAGCGACUUUUUAUAAACAGUGUCCCAAAUUGACUUCAAAUAACAUAAUUAUAGUACAAUAUGUUCUCCUAAAACCUUCUCUAGAUUUGUAUGCAUGGUCAUUGCAUGGCAAAUUGUAACUAAAUUUCUCCGGUGCAGCACGUUUUCAAAGAGGACAUCAGCAAGAAGUGUUUAAUAGCAAUAAUACACAUGUAGUGACGCUGUGGAAUAGUGAUUCUCAGAGUGUGGUCUUCUCAACUAGCAGCACCAACAUCCCCUGGGGCCUUGUUACCGAGCUAGAAAUCCCUCGAUCUCAACCUAGACCAGAAGCAGAAACUCUGAGGCAGGGUUCAGCAGUUUGUGUUUAACAAGCCCUUCAGGAGAUUCUGAUGCAUGCAAAUGUGUGAGAACCAUUACAGGACUAGCAUCCUGCAGUACCUCCUGAGGGUGAAGAGUGAAUCCUGGCUUUGAAAAGCUAAUUGAGACACAGUUCUCUUCCAAGGAUACUUCUGUGGACAUCAUUGGUAAGUCCACCCCUUGGUUCCCUAAAAUCUUUACAUGUCCCAACUUUCUCAGCAGGUGGGGGAGUGAAAACAGUCAAAAUAAUGGAGAAAUAGUUAUGAAAUUCAGUGAACUGAAUUAAUUGUUAAAUGCAAGUAUAAGCAUUCAUCCAUUGUUAGGAGAAAACGUACAUUUACAAACUCUUGUUACAUAUAUAAGGUACUAUCAUCAGCAUUUUGCACACGUCUCAUUUAGUUCUCAUAACCAUCCUACCAUAGAGCCAUUAUCAUGACCACUUCAUAGAUGACAGAAAUGUUAAGUACCUUGCUCAAAGUUACACUGCUGGUGAGUGACCUUUGUUUGGUUUAUAAUUUAAUUAUAGUUCAUCUCUUUAAUGAGCGUCCCUGGCCUCUCCACAGUAUAACAGACAUCUCCUAUUGCCACCUACCUUGAAAUUGGCUCUCAUCAUCUUACAGUGCAGUUUCCUAUUCAUUUGACAGAUAUCUUGAAACCAGGGGGUGAAUAUCAAAAGGCUAAUCUAGAGGAGUAUGUGGAAGCAUUUCAGUUUCUCACUCUUGGCCCACACAGACAAACCUUUUAAGAACUCCCUAUAAUAAAGCACAUCAAUAUGUUAAUGUCACAGUUUUAUACUUUACAAAGUAAAUUCAUCAAUAACACAUAUAAGGAAAUUUAAUGUGUAUCAGAGUUAGUAUUAGAGAUUAGUAGGGAAAAAAAUGACUAUUUAACAUGUGGUGAUUUUGGACAAUUGGUUACCAGAGAAGUGAAAAACAAAACCCUAAAUUCAAUCCCUACUUUACAGCCACCAUAUAUAUUUUUAAAAAUCUCAAGUGCAUUAAAAUCUAAAUGUGAACUACAAAAGAUUAAAUACGUUUAGAAUAUCUAUAUAUAUGAAAACGUUAUGAUCUUCUGGGUUAAGAGUUUAUUUUAAAAGAUUUCUUUUAAAAAAGACUGACUAUAUCACAAUUUAAAACAUUCUUAUGACAAAAAGAAAAUACCAUGAGAAAGUUAAAAGACAUAUGACAGAUUAGAAGAUAUUUACAAUAUAUACAAUGAAGAAAGGGCUAGAAACCAAAAUAGAUGAAAACAUUCUACAAGUGAAUAAGAAGAGUAUGAACAAUUCAGGAGAAAAAUCGACACUAAAUACAAAUAGGUAAUUUACAUUAGACAAAACUGAAUGCAGAAUAAAUACAUGAAAAGAUGCUAUAGCUUUAUAUUAACCAGGGAAAUAAAAAUAUCAACAGUGAAAUACCAUUUUAUAGUUUUCAUGUUGGCAAAACUAUAAAAUCUGUCAAUAAUCAGUAUACUUCAUAGAUUAGGCCAAUCAUUUUGCAGAGGACAAUUUGGAAAGAAUAGAAAAUCUAAAUAUGUACAAACACUAAAAUCCAGCAAUUCUACUUCUAGAUAUGAUUUCUAUGGAAGUUUUCCUAUUUGAGUGCAAAGAGGUAUAUGUCAUAAGUUCACUGCAGUGCAGUAUAUAAUAGUUAAAGAUUGGAUAUAAUUUUAAUGUCCAUCAAUAGGAAAAUGGACAGAGAGUUUGGUAUAUUUAUGAGGUAUGAUGUUAUGUAGCAGUUAAAAAUAAUGAAAUAGAUCUGUGCAUCAAUAACGAUAGACUGCUAAAAUCUAACUUUGAUGAAAAUAGCUAAUGUCUAGGAAGAUAUACAUAGUAUGGAUAUCAUGUGUGUAAUUUAAAAAUAUAUAUAAUAUUAAUAUAGAUAUAUAUUUGUGUGUCUGUACAUAUAUGUAUGGGAUUGGCAGAAUAAACAUAAAAUUCAGUGGUUCCCUCCAGGGAGAAGCGACGCAGGAGAAUGGGAAUGAGGAGGGAAUUCUAGAGACAAAUUUUAUGAUGUAAGUAUGUAAGUACGGAAAAAUAUUAACCUAAGUCUUUGCUGUUAUAGUCUCUGCAUUUUUUGUGUUAUUAAUCUUUUUUUUUCCUAACAGAGAAAAAAAUGCCCUGAAGCUCAGAGAGGUAUGUAAAUUGCAUGAGAGAGCCAAGGUAAAGAAAUACAUCACUGUGUAAAGGCCAAUUCAAAUGCAAUAGAAAGGCUAAUUACAUCAACAGAAAAGUGAAAUAUUUCAAAUGGGUUCAGAGAUUUUCAAGUCCUUUUUUAGUAAAACAUUGCUGACUAAUCCCUGCCCCAUUGGGAAGUGUUUCAGUAGACACAAUUGUUUUCAUGAACUUUGUUAUUUUUCUUAUUUUUUUAUUUUUAUUUUUUUUUGCGACAGAGUCUUGCUCUGUCACUUAGGCUGCAGUGCAGUGGCGCAAACUCAGCUCACUGAAACCUUUGCCUCCCAGGUUCAAGUGGUUCUCCUGCCUCAACCUCCCCAGUAGCUGGGAUUUCAGGUGCACACCACCAUGCCUAAUUUUUCUAUUUUUAGUAGAGACGGAGUUUCACCAUGUUGGCCAGGCUGGCCUCCAACUCCUGACCUCAAGUGAUCCACCCAUUUUGGCCUCCCAAAGUGCUGGGAUUAUAGGCGUGAGUCACCAUGCCAGGUCAACUUUGUUAAUUUUUAUGUUGGAGUUACAAAAUCUAUGUUGGUGCACUACCCCCUUUGUGGCUAUAGGUUGAUAACUGUGUUAGAACUGACACUAACACCUACUUUCACGGUCUUUGCAUUAUCACCAGAUGACACUCCCUGCUCAAAAAAAAAUGUAAUGUGAUUAAUUAAUGUUUCUCUUCUUUUUAGAAUUGCUUAUUGUAAUCCACUGCACCCUGACUAUCUGGUGGUAUGAGAUUUCAGAUGACCUAGUAAGUAUCCUUCUACUUGACUUCUUAAGGAGGGCUUUUUAUGAGAGCCCUCUCUAGAUUUAAAUGAACAGUGUUAAAAGUAGACAUAAUCAUUAAUAUUGACUAAAGAUUUUUAUAGUUUUGGAUAUAUCAGCUUGUUAAUAUAUAAUUUAAAACUUCUUAGGGUGGAAAACUGGUUGAUUGAAUACUGAAGAUUAGUGAGGAACAACAACAGCGUGAAUUAAGGGAUAAGGGUUAAGGUGACACUAGAGCUGCCUUUAUCUAGCUCUGAGACGUUGAAACAAUUUCUUGCACUCUCUGGGAUUCAGCUUCUCCAUCUGUACGUUGGUGAGAUGGACUAGUACAUUUCAUUUGUUGUCGGUAUCAGUAGCAUUUGUCAUAGGUGGUGAUUACUUCCUUGUCCUGGAACCAUUUUCUUCCAUUAACUUCUAAGGCAUUUCUAAGGCAUCUCUUAAUUUCCCCUUGUUUCACUAGCCCUCUUUCUUAGUUUCUUUAUUUGGAGUGACUCAAGCUUACUCCUUAGAUCUCUUACUUAUUUACUUAAUACACAUUCCUUUUAUCCUCUGGGCGAUUUCAUCUAGCAUCAUGAUUUUAAAGCCAUAUAUUUAUUUACAUUGCCCAAAUAUAGGUAUAUCUGCAGCUUUGAUUUUGUCUCUGAAUUUCAUAACAAUUUUUAACUUGACAUCUCGACUUUUAUGCCUAAUGUAUUGCUUGGAAUUAACAUGCCUAAAUUUUCACUUUCAAUUGCUGCCCCUCCUCUGCUCUAAAUUGCUCUAAAUUCAUCUUCCUCACACUCAUUAAAGGAAACAGUCUUUCCACUGCUCAGGACAAAUCCAUUGGCAUCAUAAUUAAUCUUCUCUUUCUUUUGUACUCCAUGCCUAAUGAGAUUAGCAAGUUUUUAAAAACAGUUCCCAAAUGGUAGUGUUUUAUUUUUAAUCGUAAUCUGUUUUUCCAUUUUGCUCAAAUAAUUAUUUCUGUAUAUUCCUACAAUUCUAAUUGAAGAUUUCUGUUAAUUAUUAGCAAAUCUUGCUGGUUAUAACUUAGAAAUACUCCAUAAUAUAUAAAUCAGUCCAAAACCCUACACUGAAGAGCAAUCCCUGGGAGUAGUAUCCCAAUUCAGAAAAGCAGAGACACCAGAGAACAGGUAGUUAAUAUAGCAGUGACAGAAGAGAGCCAGGAGAUCACAGUAAGUAUGUGGUCAUUUUUCAGAAUACAUUGCAAAAAUCAAAGAAAGCGAACUUUAUAGCCAUGAAGUAAAAAAAAAAGAAAAAAAAAAUCUAAUCACCACCUUCCUAGAAGUUUAAGAGAAUGAAUUUCACACAAAAACAGCAGAUUAUCAUGAGAGAACAUUAUACAAAUGUAUUAUUUAAAAAUAGAGGCUGGGCACGAUGGCUCAUGCCUGCAAUCCUAGCACUUUGGGAAGCUGAGGCAGGUGGAUCACCUGAGGUCAGGAGUUAGAGACCAGCCUGACCAACAUGGUGAAAUCCCGUCUCUACUAAGAUUACUAAAAUUAGCUGGGCAUGCUAGCCCAUGCCUGAAGUCCCAGCUGCUUGGGAGGCUGAGGCAGGAAAAUUGCUUGAACCCAGGAGGUGGAGGUUUCAGUGAGCCAAGAUGGCACCACUGCACUCCAGCCUGGGUGACAGAGCGAGACCCUGUCUCAAAAAAAAAAAAAAAAAAUUAUAUAACUCAUAAACAGAAUAAUAUCAGUACAGGCAAUGAAACCUUUCAUAGAAAGGUACAUCCAUAAAACAAAUGAAAUAUGUUACCUAAGAUUUCAAAACAAGCUGAAAGGAAUUAACAAAAUAAUAGAAGAUAUAUAAU
Long non-coding RNA from Callithrix jacchus (white-tufted-ear marmoset), 9294 nucleotides. RefSeq lists it as uncharacterized. The record is from RefSeq and is a predicted model, not a curated record. NCBI's taxonomy places the organism in Eukaryota, Metazoa, Chordata, Mammalia, Primates, Cebidae.